CUACGUGCCAGCAGCCGCGGUAAUACGUAGGUCCCGAGCGUUGUCCGGAUUUAUUGGGCGUAAAGCGAGCGCAGGCGGUUAGAUAAGUCUGAAGUUAAAGGCUGUGGCUUAACCAUAGUACGCUUUGGAAACUGUUUAACUUGAGUGCAAGAGGGGAGAGUGGAAUUCCAUGUGUAGCGGUGAAAUGCGUAGAUAUAUGGAGGAACACCGGUGGCGAAAGCGGCUCUCUGGCUUGUAACUGACGCUGAGGCUCGAAAGCGUGGGGAACAAACAGGAUUAGAUACCCUGGUAGUCCACGCCGUAAACGAUGAGUGCUAGGUGUUAGACCCUUUCCGGGGUUUAGUGCCGUAGCUAACGCAUUAAGCACUCCGCCUGGGGAGUACGACCGCAAGGUUGAAACUCAAAGGAAUUGACGGGGGCCCGCACAAGCGGUGGAGCAUGUGGUUUAAUUCGAAGCAACGCGAAGAACCUUACCAGGUCUUGACAUCCCUCUGACCGCUCUAGAGAUAGAGUUUUC
Molecule: ribosomal RNA, 517 nt
Filed under: uncultured bacterium
Lineage: Bacteria
Description: bacterial SSU rRNA
Rfam family: Bacterial small subunit ribosomal RNA
Source: RNAcentral